GACGAACGCUGGCGGCGCGCCUAACACAUGCAGGUCGAACGAGCAAAGAGGAGCUUGCUUCUCUGAGCGAGUGGCGAACGGGUGAGUAACGCGUGAGGAACCUGCCUCAAAGAGGGGGACAACAGUUGGAAACGACUGCUAAUACCGCAUAAGCCCACAGGUCGGCAUCGACCAGAGGGAAAAGGAGCAAUCCGCUUUGAGAUGGCCUCGCGUCCGAUUAGCUAGUUGGUGAGGUAAUGGCCCACCAAGGCGACGAUCGGUAGCCGGACUGAGAGGUUGAACGGCCACAUUGGGACUGAGACACGGCCCAGACUCCUACGGGAGGCAGCAGUGGGGAAUAUUGCACAAUGGGGGAAACCCUGAUGCAGCGACGCCGCGUGGAGGAAGAAGGUCUUCGGAUUGUAAACUCCUGUUGU
Molecule: ribosomal RNA, 416 nt
Filed under: uncultured bacterium
Lineage: Bacteria
Description: bacterial SSU rRNA
Rfam family: Bacterial small subunit ribosomal RNA
Source: RNAcentral